This 1773-nucleotide unclassified non-coding RNA is filed under the name Hevea brasiliensis (rubber tree). The record is from RNAcentral. Lineage: Eukaryota; Viridiplantae; Streptophyta; Magnoliopsida; Malpighiales; Euphorbiaceae.
GUCGAAGUAUAUACCAUACAAAUAUAAUCAGGCUCUAAUAACAAGAUAGGCCGGGAGCCCUUACCAUACGUAUAACUUACUCAUGCUAUGCCUCUCCCCUCUCUUAGGUACUCUCUGACUGUACCCUUUUAUAACAUUAUACAUAUAAUAAUGGGACCGUUACAUUCAAUAUCAUAACAAAGAUAUUUCUAAUACAUAAGAUCCUCUAACGAAGCAAGUAUCUCUUGUUCUACAUGCUUUCUAAUUAUCUUCCCUUUCUCCUGAAAACCUUAAAAUUAAUAAGCCCACAUGUUUUUGUAUAUAACAUAGGCGGCCAACGCGUAAUUCCAUCUUCCAAAAGCAGAGACUGGGUGCAGUCAUUCACUACCGGUCAUGGCAGAGAAGAACGGCCUGGUGGCCGAUUCGUGUCUCGAAGACCAAUCAUCAACGACUCCAUCUCCGUCUUCUUCCACCCACAGCAAACCCUCAACACCCCACCAUGACGAACUCUACCACUCGCUAUUUCACGAAACUGGAAUGCCAUCACAAAAUCCCAAAAAAGCGAAGAAAUCACCCCAAUCUGAUCAUCCACCUUCAUUACCCACCCUUCCUCACCAAAUCAUCGCGGAAAUUUUCUCUCGAUUACCAGUCAAAGCUCUAAUAAAAUUCAGGUGCGUUUCCAAAACAUUCAAAACCCUGUUUUCAGACCCCCAGUUUAUAAAUGCCCACCUCCGAAAAAUCACAUCUUCAUCAGAGAAAAAACCCAAUCGCUAUCAGAAAAUUGUUUUAACCUAUAGUGGUCCUCCAUCUAGUCGCCACAAAUCUUGCUCCUUAUACUCGAUUUAUAACAAUUUACAAACUGAUGCUAUUGAGAUCGGCCAUUUCUUAUUAAAGGAUAAAUAUCGUUAUGAUUGGCUUGUUGGGUCUUGUGACGGAUUACUAUGUGUGGCUGCCAAGCAGAAUUACGUGGCUUUAUGGAAUCCAUCUACAAGGGUGGCUGAUAGAUUGCCUGGUUUAGGGUUUGGAAAGAAGUUGGGAAGCUAUACUGUUUUUGGGUUUGGUUAUGAUAGUGAAAUAGAUGAUUAUAAGGUGGUGGCUGUGUUCUGCUUUCAAAAUAGGGGUGGUAAUGGAGGUAUUGGAUAUGAAACUAGAGUUGAAGUUUGCACCUUGUGGACCAAAUAUUGGAGGAGGAUUGAGGGUUUCAGAUAUGGUGUUCCUUGUGAUGUCUCAGGGAAGUAUGUCAAUGGCAGUCUUAUUUGGCCAGUGAUGUGUGAAAGAGAUUCUGGAUUAGCGUGGAUUAUUGUUUCCUUUGAUUUAGCAAAGGAGACAUAUAAGGAGAUGGUGCAACCUGAUUAUGGGGAGGUUGGUUGUGAUAGGACAUUGGGGGUUUUAGAUGGAUGCCUUUGUGUGAUGUGUAAUUAUAAGGCUGACCGUGCUGAUUUUUGGUUGAUGAAGGAGUAUGGAGUGAGAGAGUCUUGGACCAAGUUGCUUAGUAUACCAUAUUUGGAUGAUCCUGGGUUGUUGCAGUAUUCAGUGCCAUAUUGCAUUGCAGAUAAUGGUGAAGUUCUGCUGGAAUUUAAAGGCCUCUUAAUCAUUUACAAUCCUAAAGAUGGUGCAUUUAGGCACCCUGUGAUCAAUGGUGCUUGCCAGUGGAUUGAAGCAGAAAUUUACAUCGAGACCCUGGUUUCCCCCAAAGUUGGGAAUUGUAAUUUGGAGACAACAGGAAUGCUUGCGAACACUGAAAAGUAGAUUGGAAACGCUUUUGUGAUGCAUGUUGUUGCUUUUACUGUCUAA